GAUGAAGAACGUAGCGAAAUGCGAUAAGUAAUGUGAAUUGCAGAAUUCAGUGAAUCAUCGAAUCUUUGAACGCACAUUGCGCCCCCUGGUAUUCCGGGGGGCAUGCCUGUUCGAGCGUCAUUUCACCACUCAAGCCUCGCUUGGUAUUGGGCAACGCGGUCCGCCGCGUGCCUCAAAUCGACCGGCUGGGUCUUCUGUCCCCUAAGCGUUGUGGAAACUAUUCGCUAAAGGGUGUUCGGGAGGCUACGCCGUAAAACAACCCCAUUUCUACGGUUGACCUCGGAUCAGGUAGGGAUACCCGCUGAACUUAAGCAUAUCAAUAAGCGGAGGA
Molecule: unclassified non-coding RNA, 331 nt
Filed under: soil metagenome
Description: partial contains 5.8S ribosomal RNA, internal transcribed spacer 2, and large subunit ribosomal RNA
Rfam family: 5.8S ribosomal RNA (bases 1-120)
Source: RNAcentral